AGCGAACGCUGGCGGCAGGCUUAACACAUGCAAGUCGAGCGGGCGUAGCAAUACGUCAGCGGCAGACGGGUGAGUAACGCGUGGGAACGUACCUUUUGGUUCGGAACAACACAGGGAAACUUGUGCUAAUACCGGAUAAGCCCUUACGGGGAAAGAUUUAUCGCCGAAAGAUCGGCCCGCGUCUGAUUAGCUAGUUGGUGAGGUAACGGCUCACCAAGGCGACGAUCAGUAGCUGGUCUGAGAGGAUGAUCAGCCACAUUGGGACUGAGACACGGCCCAAACUCCUACGGGAGGCAGCAGUGGGGAAUAUUGGACAAUGGGCGCAAGCCUGAUCCAGCCAUGCCGCGUGAGUGAUGAAGGCCCUAGGGUUGUAAAGCUCUUUUGUGCGGGAAGAUAAUGACGGUACCGCAAGAAUAAGCCCCGGCUAACUUCGUGCCAGCAGCCGCGGUAA
RNAcentral lists this ribosomal RNA (451 nucleotides) under uncultured bacterium. RNAcentral describes it as "partial 16S ribosomal RNA". It matches the Rfam family "Bacterial small subunit ribosomal RNA", at positions 29 to 523 of the family's 1533-position model. The record is from RNAcentral.